This 499-nucleotide ribosomal RNA is filed under the name uncultured Glomeromycotina. RNAcentral describes it as "partial small subunit ribosomal RNA". It matches the Rfam family "Eukaryotic small subunit ribosomal RNA", at positions 591 to 1092 of the family's 1831-position model. Lineage: Eukaryota; Fungi; Glomeromycota. The record is from RNAcentral.
CCAAUAGCGUAUAUUAAAGUUGUUGCAGUUAAAAAGCUCGUAGUUGAAUUUCGAGACCGGUCUACUGGUCGUGCUUUUGUACGUACUGGUUUUAUUGGUUUCUCCUUUCUGACGAACUAUAAUGCCAUUAAUUUGGUGUUAUGGGGAAUCAGGACUGUUACUUUGAAAAAAUUAGAGUGUUUAAAGCAGGCUCACGCUUGAAUACAUUAGCAUGGAAUAACGGAAUAGGACGUUUGAUUCUAUUUUGUUGGUUUCUAGGAUCGACGUAAUGAUUAAUAGGGAUAGUUGGGGGCAUUAGUAUUCAAUUGUCAGAGGUGAAAUUCUUGGAUUUAUUGAAGACUAACUACUGCGAAAGCAUUUGCCAAGGAUGUUUUCAUUAAUCAAGAACGAAAGUUAGGGGGUCGAAGACGAUCAGAUACCGUCGUAGUCUUAACCAUAAACUAUGCCGACUAGGGAUCGGAUGAUGUUAAUUUUUUAAUGACUCAUUCGGCGCCUUACG